GUACGCAGUACUGGAGACCGUAUCUUCAGAAGGAUAUUGAUACCUUAGAGAGGGUUCAGAGAAGGGCUACUAAACUGGUUCAUGGAUUGCAGGAUAAAACUUACCAGGAAAGGUUAAAGGAUCUUAACAUGUAUAGCUUGGAGGAAAGACGAGACAGGGGGGAUAUGAUAGAAACAUUUAAAUAUAUAAAGAGAAUCAACACAGUAAAGGAGGAGACUAUAUUUAAAAGAAGAAAAACUACCACAACAAGAGGACAUAGUCUU
This is a non-coding RNA of Pelobates cultripes (western spadefoot toad), 263 nucleotides long. The record is from the annotation of a GenBank genome assembly. NCBI's taxonomy places the organism in Eukaryota, Metazoa, Chordata, Amphibia, Anura, Pelobatidae.